Molecule: long non-coding RNA, 514 nt
Organism: Oreochromis aureus
Lineage: Eukaryota; Metazoa; Chordata; Actinopteri; Cichliformes; Cichlidae
Source: Ensembl
CUCUUAUUAAGCUGCUUUUGGAAACACUGGCUGAUCUGAGUGACAGCGAGGUCAAAGACUUCAUCAAGAUCCUGAGAAGAAAACGUGGCUCAAUGAUCCCAACGAGUCUGUUGUUCAUGUCCGACCCGCAGGACGUGCAGGACGUGGUGUUUUGGUGGUGAGAACUUUUGGCCAACAGUCAGUGAAGAAGAUCGUGGAGGUUUUGAAGAAGAUGAGGAAGACUGAUUUGGCUCAGAGGCUGACAGACAGCAGCUCAGAAGCUCAAAAGAAACAUCUGGAUGAACAUCUGUCUGCACUGAUCCAUAAAGUUGCAACAAUGGCAGCUGUUACAGAUCUGCUUCUAGAAACACUGGAGGAUUUGAGUGAUCAGGAUCUCAAGGAGUUCAAGUUGUUCCUGCAGUUCACUCGUUUUCAGAAGAGUCUUCCACAAAUCAAACUGAGUGAUGACAGAAGAGGAAUAGUCAAUGAUAUGAUUAAUAAAUGUGGUCAUCAGUCUGUGGAGGUGAUCAGGGAG